This 460-nucleotide ribosomal RNA is filed under the name uncultured bacterium. RNAcentral describes it as "partial 16S ribosomal RNA". It matches the Rfam family "Bacterial small subunit ribosomal RNA", at positions 338 to 795 of the family's 1533-position model. The record is from RNAcentral.
CCUACGGGAGGCAGCAGUGAGGAAUAUUGGUCAAUGGACGAGAGUCUGAACCAGCCAAGUAGCGUGAAGGAUGACGGCCCUAUGGGUUGUAAACUUCUUUUAUAAAGGAAUAAAACGAGGCACGUGUGCCUUUUUGCAUGUACUUUAUGAAAAAGGAUCGGCUAACUCCGUGCCAGCAGCCGCGGUAAUACGGAGGAUCCGAGCGUUAUCCGGAGUUAGUGGGUUUAAAGGGAGCGUAGAGGGGUUGUUCAGUCAGUUGUGAAAGUUUGCGGCUCAACCUUAAAAUUGCAAUUGAUACUGGCAGUCUUGAGUACAGUUGAGGUAGGCGGAAUUCGUGGUGUAGCGGUGAAAUGCUUAGAUAUCACGAAGAACCCCGAUUGCGAAGGCAGCUUACUAAACUGUGACUGACAUUGAUGCUCGAAGGUGUGGGUAUCAAACAGGAUUAGAUACCCGAGUAGUC